CCUCGCGGUAGCGUGCGGCUGUGCCGUCGACCCGUCGUCUCCUUUCUCCUCCACUCCUCGUCGCAGGCGGCAUAACGGAGCGCACGCACGCACGCAAUGGCCAUGGCCGCCCCGCCACCCACGGCUCUCUGCGCCCGCCGCUUCCGGCCCCACCACUUCGCAUACUCCUCCCCCGCCACGCUCCGCCUACCCACGGCCUCCUCCUCCUCACAGCUCCGGCGCCGCCGCCGGCUAGCCGUCUCCCCGCGCGCGGACGCGGCGACCGGGACGGGGGAUGUGGAGGCGCUCAGGGCCGGGGUGUCCGUGUACAAGCCGCGGUCCUACGACGUGCUCGUCACCGACGCGGCUCGCUCCCUCGCCUGCGCCAUCGACGACGGCAAGACCCGGCUCGAGAUCGAAUUCCCGCCUCUGCCAAGCAGCAUCUCUUCUUACAAGGGCUCCUCAGAUGAGUUCAUCGAUGCCAACAUCCAGCUUGCUCUCGUUGUUGCUAGGAAGCUCAAAGAGCUCAAGGGGACUAGGUCUUGUAUAUUGAUUUCAGGUGUUUCCUGAUCAACCUGAAAAACGUAGGGCAUCAGAGUUGUUCAAGACAGCUAUAGACACGAUUGAGGGUGUAACCAUCAGCUCCCUGGAUGAUGUACCCACUGACCCUGUCAACAGCUUCUUCAAAUCAAUAAGAAACACCCUGGAUUUUGACUUCUCAGAUGACAAUGAAGGUAGAUGGAAAUCUGAUGAACCACCAUCGUUAUAUAUCUUCAUCAACAGCAGCACGCGUGACCUUGCUUCUAUAGAGAAGUAUGUGGAAAAGUUCGCCACAUCUGUUCCAGCCCUUCUAUUCAAUCUCGAACUAGAUACAUUGCGUUCUGACCUGGGGCUUCUCGGGUUCCCCCCAAAAGAUCUGCACUACCGGUUCCUUUCUCAAUUCACCCCAGUAUUUUAUAUCAGACAGCGUGACUAUUCCAAAGUAUUCAUCUGUCUUACUUUUAUCCAUCUAGAAACAUCCUUGUGUUUAUAGCUUCUUGCACCAUCUAUGACUACUUUCCCUUAACCGUGUAGACAAUCGCAGUUGCUCCAUACAUAGUGAAUUAUAGUGGAGCUGUAUUCCGCCAAUACCCAGCCCCCUGGCAGGUCAUGCUGAAGCAGGCUGAUGGUUCCUAUGCAUGUGUCGCUGAGAGCGAAGCUCGGUUCACUUUGGGACAGGCGAAAGAAGAACUAUUGAGAGUUAUUGGUUUACAAGAAGAAGAGGGAAGCUCCCUUGAAUUUCUCAGAAGAGGAUACAAGAAUGCUACCUGGUGGGAAGAGAACGUUGAUCAGGAGACGUCGUCUGCCUGGCGAACUUGAGAUGCUAUACUUGCUGGAUGGAUGCUUUUCUAACCUGGAACUGGGAAUGGAUAAUUUGGCCAACGAGUGUCCAUGUCUUGUUGUAUGGAACUAAAAAAUCUGAAAUUACAGAAAGAGAAGUCCAUGUACAGCGUAAUAACAUUGCCUGUGAUGAUCGUAUUAUUAUUAUUGUUGUUAUUAUUAUGCGAGU
RNA transcript from Zea mays, 1528 nucleotides. RefSeq lists it as uncharacterized. The transcript is spliced from 11 exons. NCBI's taxonomy places the organism in Eukaryota, Viridiplantae, Streptophyta, Magnoliopsida, Poales, Poaceae. The record is from RefSeq and is marked validated.